AGAGUUUGAUCCUGGCUCAGAAUGAACGCUGGCGGCGUGCCUAACACAUGCAAGUCGGAUGUGCCCGCAAGGGUGCAUGGCAGACGGGUGAGUAACGCGUGGGGAAUCUACCUUUUAGUGGGGAAUAACGCUCCGAAAGGAGUGGUAAUACCGCAUGUGACCAUUCGCUGGGAUGCGGAUGGUGAAACCCUGGGACCUUCGGGCCAGGGGCUAAAAGAGGAUCCUGCGUCUGAUUAGCUAGUUGGUGAGGUAAUGGCUCACCAAGGCGACGAUCAGUAGCUGGUCUGAGAGGAUGGCCAGCCUCACUGGGACUGAGACACGGCCCAGACUCCUACGGGAGGCAGCAGUGGGGAAUAUUGGACAAUGGGCGAAAGCCUGAUCCAGCCAUGCCGCGUGAGUGAUGAAGGCCUUAGGGUUGUAAAGCUCUUUCAGUAGGGAAGAUAAUGACGGUACCUACAGAAGAAGCCCCGGCUAACUUCGUGCCAGCCGCCGCGGUAAUAC
This 501-nucleotide ribosomal RNA is filed under the name uncultured bacterium. RNAcentral's name for it is "bacterial SSU rRNA". It matches the Rfam family "Bacterial small subunit ribosomal RNA", at positions 8 to 526 of the family's 1533-position model. The record is from RNAcentral.